UACGAGAGGCCCAAACGUUAUUCGGAAUUACUGGGCUUAAAGAGUUCGUAGGCGGUAUGACAAGUAGGGUGUGAAAGCCCUCGGCUCAACCGAGGAAUUGCGCUCUAAACUGUCGUACUCGAGGAACCUAGAGGUGAGCAGAACUGAUGGUGGAGCGGUGAAAUUCGUAGAUAUCAAGCAGAACACCUGCGGCGAAGGCGGCCUUCUGGACGAUGACUGACGCUGAGACGCGAAAGCGUAGGGAGCAAACAGG
This 253-nucleotide ribosomal RNA is filed under the name uncultured bacterium. RNAcentral's name for it is "partial 16S ribosomal RNA". It matches the Rfam family "Bacterial small subunit ribosomal RNA", at positions 524 to 776 of the family's 1533-position model. The record is from RNAcentral.